CCACCAGCUACCAAGGUACCAGUUAAUACCAGAGUCAGGCCAGUUGUUCCACCAGCUACUAAUAUACCAGUUAAUAGCACAUCAGUUCUUCCCCCAUCUUAUGAACAAGUUCUUCAAAUGGACAGUCAAAAAGCCAAAUCUGAAGCAACAGCAGUAUGUGAGAUUCCAAAAUCCAAUCGGAUCGGCCUAUUCAUCAGGUUUCCAGAUGCUCAUAUCGUAGAAUUCAGAUCUUAUAUUCUCAACAACAGACAAUAUCUAAAGCAGAAAGAAGGAGAAUUAUUAGCCCUGUCCAUCCAGCCGAUGUCAGAUUUAGGAAUUUGGCCAGAUCAAACUUCGAUAGCUAUUUUCCUGUUUCCUUCUGCAGAAAAAGCCUCUGAUUGGUUUAAAACCGCUCCUUGUAUCAAUAAAACCUCGUGGAUAAAAUCAUGUGAUGCAACAACUUUUAAAAUGAACAAAGUUCAUAACGAAAAUUACAGAUACUUCGGAAUAAGUUACACAUCUAUAAUAAAUGCUGGUAAAAAUAUAAAAGGACGUAAAGAACUGGGUCGAGUUAUCAGGGAGGUUAUUGUACCGUACAGGAUUCAAAAUGAUGGCAUUUCAUUGACAAUGGCACAAGCCACUGAAGUAUUACAUGGCGAUUGGGUUUCUAAACCAUGGUAUAUAAGUUUAUCACAGUGGUCGUCUUUAAAAGGUUAUGCGGAAUAUAAACGACUAAUUAGUCAAACAAAAGAAUAUGAAAAUGAAAAGAGAAAAUAUUAUAAUACUGUGGGAUCGAUUUUAUUUCAAACUGAAGAUAUAUCGCCAUACCAAGAAUCUGACAUGACAGGCGAUACAGUAGGAGAGAAUUCUGAGAACGAAGCUAACAAUGAUGACACCAUGGAUGUUACUGCUGAAAAUCACGCGGAUAAUGCUGAAACUUCUGACGUAACUAGUGUCAAUGAAAAUGGCGAAAUUCUAACUGAAGACGUCAGUGAUGCGGCACCUUAAAAUAUUUAUAGCCCAAUAAUAAACCCAUCAGACACUUUAAUAUAUGUUUUAAAGGAGCUAAAUCGCUAACAUUUGGGACCUAGAAAUUGACAAAAGUGGGUCGCAACGCAUAUAAUACUGUAAUAUGAAUGUAUAUAAACCAAUGGUAAAAUGUUUAUUCUGUCUUAAAUAUUGGAUAUCAAAAGCCCAUCUUUUUUCCGGUAAGAUCACAACAUGAAUGUUGAUUUAAAUUGACAAAUAAAUCGUGUUUUCAAUGUUGAAGAUUUUGGAUGAUAUUGAGUUAGAAACUUAGCUACUUUAAACUCAUCACAUUUUCAUAUACAAGAUUUUUUUUGGGAUUUUUUACCCAUUUGUUUUUAUUACGCCUC
Molecule: long non-coding RNA, 1355 nt
Organism: Patella vulgata (common limpet)
Lineage: Eukaryota; Metazoa; Mollusca; Gastropoda; Patellidae
Exons: 6
Source: RefSeq, a predicted model, not a curated record